Molecule: transfer RNA, 111 nt
Filed under: Nitrososphaerota archaeon
Lineage: Archaea; Thermoproteati; Nitrososphaerota
Description: Thaumarchaeota archaeon tRNA-OTHER
Rfam family: tRNA
About the family: Transfer RNA (tRNA) molecules are approximately 80 nucleotides in length. Their secondary structure includes four short double-helical elements and three loops (D, anti-codon, and T loops). Further hydrogen bonds mediate the characteristic L-shaped molecular structure. tRNAs have two regions of fundamental functional importance: the anti-codon, which is responsible for specific mRNA codon recognition, and the 3' end, to which the tRNAs corresponding amino acid is attached (by aminoacyl-tRNA synthetases). tRNAs cope with the degeneracy of the genetic code in two manners: having more than one tRNA (with a specific anti-codon) for a particular amino acid; and 'wobble' base-pairing, i.e. permitting non-standard base-pairing at the 3rd anti-codon position.
Source: RNAcentral
GCCUCGGUAGCUCAGCCUGGCAGAGCAACAGUCGUUACAAAUGCACGGUUGAGCCUUGUAAAGAAUAAUCAAGCCAGCUGUGGGUCGCGGGUCCAAAUCCCGCCCGAGGCU